CGGAGGAUGCAAGCGUUAUCCGGAUUCAUUGGGUUUAAAGGGUGCGUAGGCGGCUUUUUAAGUCAGUGGUGAAAUCCUGCCGCUUAACGGUAGAAUUGCCAUUGAUACUGAAGAGCUUGAGUACAGUUGAGGUAGGCGGAAUGUGUAGUGUAGCGGUGAAAUGCUUAGAUAUUACACAGAACACCAAUUGCGAAGGCAGCUUACUAAGCUGUCACUGACGCUGAUGCACGAAAGCGUGGGGAGCGAACAGGAUUAGAUACCCUGGUAGUCCACGCCGUAAACGAUGAUCACUCGCUGUAUGCGAUACACAGUAUGCGGCCAAGCGAAAGCAUUAAGUGAUCCACCUGGGGAGUACGAUCGCAAGGUUG
This 368-nucleotide ribosomal RNA is filed under the name uncultured organism. Its description in RNAcentral is "bacterial SSU rRNA". It matches the Rfam family "Bacterial small subunit ribosomal RNA", at positions 526 to 896 of the family's 1533-position model. The record is from RNAcentral.